RNAcentral lists this ribosomal RNA (449 nucleotides) under uncultured bacterium. RNAcentral describes it as "bacterial SSU rRNA". It matches the Rfam family "Bacterial small subunit ribosomal RNA", at positions 330 to 793 of the family's 1533-position model. The record is from RNAcentral.
UCCAGACUCCUACGGGAGGCAGCAGUGGGGAAUAUUGGGCAAUGGGCGCAAGCCUGACCCAGCAAUGCCGCGUGAAGGAAGAAGGCCCUCGGGUUGUAAACUUCUUUUAUCAGGGACGAAGGAUGUGACGGUACCUGAUGAAUAAGCUCCGGCUAACUACGUGCCAGCAGCCGCGGUAAUACGUAGGGAGCAAGCGUUAUCCGGAUUUACUGGGUGUAAAGGGCGCGUAGGCGGGAUGGCAAGUCAGAUGUGAAAUCCGGGGGCUCAACCCCUGAACUGCAUUUGAAACUGUCAGUCUUGAGUACCGGAGAGGUCAUCGGAAUUCCUUGUGUAGCGGUGAAAUGCGUAGAUAUAAGGAAGAACACCAGUGGCGAAGGCGGAUGACUGGACGGCAACUGACGGUGAGGCGCGAAAGCGUGGGGAGCAAACAGGAUUAGAUACCCUGGUAA